UGGGGAAUUUUGCGCAAUGGGGGAAACCCUGACGCAGCAACGCCGCGUGAGUGAUGAAGGCCUUCGGGUCGUAAAGCUCUGUCAGAGGGGAAGAAAUGCAGGGGUGCUAAUAUCAUCUUUGCUUGACGGUACCCUCAAAGGAAGCACCGGCUAACUCCGUGCCAGCAGCCGCGGUAAUACGGAGGGUGCGAGCGUUGUUCGGAAUUAUUGGGCGUAAAGCGCGUGUAGGCGGUUUGGUAAGUCUGAUGUGAAAGCCCCGGGCUCAACCUGGGAAGUGCAUUGGAAACUGUCAGACUUGAAUACGGGAGAGGGUAGUGGAAUUCCCAGCGUAGGAGUGAAAUCCGUAGAUAUUAGGAGGGACACCGGUGGCGAAGGCGGCUACCUGGACCGAUAUUGACGCUGAGACGCGAAAGCGUGGGGAGCAAACAG
RNAcentral lists this ribosomal RNA (429 nucleotides) under uncultured bacterium. RNAcentral's name for it is "bacterial SSU rRNA". It matches the Rfam family "Bacterial small subunit ribosomal RNA", at positions 355 to 775 of the family's 1533-position model. The record is from RNAcentral.